This 450-nucleotide ribosomal RNA is filed under the name uncultured bacterium. RNAcentral describes it as "partial 16S ribosomal RNA". It matches the Rfam family "Bacterial small subunit ribosomal RNA", at positions 354 to 796 of the family's 1533-position model. The record is from RNAcentral.
GUGGGGAAUUUUGGACAAUGGGCGAAAGCCUGAUCCAGCCAUGCCGCGUGCAGGAUGAAGGCCUUCGGGUUGUAAACUGCUUUUGUACGGAACGAAAAGACUCCUUCUAAUAAAGGGGGUCCAUGACGGUACCGUAAGAAUAAGCACCGGCUAACUACGUGCCAGCAGCCGCGGUAAUACGUAGGGUGCAAGCGUUAAUCGGAAUUACUGGGCGUAAAGCGUGCGCAGGCGGUUAUAUAAGACAGAUGUGAAAUCCCCGGGCGCAACCUGGGAACUGCAUUGGUGACUGUAUAGCUAGGGUACGGUAGAGGGGGAUGGAAUUCCGCGUGUAGCAGUGAAAUGCGUAGAUAUGCGGAGGAACACCGAUGGCGAAGGCAAUCCCCUGGACCUGUACUGACGCGCAUGCACGAAAGCGUGGGGAGCAAACAGGAUUAGAAACCCGAGUAGUCC